RNAcentral lists this ribosomal RNA (304 nucleotides) under Philagra concolor. RNAcentral's name for it is "partial 12S ribosomal RNA". Lineage: Eukaryota; Metazoa; Arthropoda; Insecta; Hemiptera; Aphrophoridae. The record is from RNAcentral.
UUAUGAUCUUUAAAUUCAAAGAAUUUGGCGGUAAUUAAGUCUUUUUAGAGGAACCUGUUCUGUAAUUGAUAAUCCACGAUUGAUUUUACUUUAAUUAUACUUGUAUAUCUCUGUCAUUGAAUGUAUUAUAAGGUUAUUUUCUUUUUUCCUAAACUGGAAAAAUGGCAAGUCAAGGUGCAGUUGUAUUAAAGUAGAAAUGGGUUACAAUUUUAUUUAUUGGAUUAAUAAUUGUAAAAGUAUUAUGAAAUUGGAUUUAAAUGUAAUUUUAAUUAGAUAAAUUAUUGUGAUUUUAGCUCUUAAUUAU